This 496-nucleotide ribosomal RNA is filed under the name uncultured bacterium. RNAcentral describes it as "partial 16S ribosomal RNA". It matches the Rfam family "Bacterial small subunit ribosomal RNA", at positions 28 to 506 of the family's 1533-position model. The record is from RNAcentral.
GAUGAACGCUGGCGGCGUGCCUAAUACAUGCAAGUCGAGCGAACGGACGAGAAGCUUGCUUUUCUGAUGUUAGCGGCGGACGGGUGAGUAACACGUGGAUAACCUACCUAUAAGACUGGGAUAACUUCGGGAAACCGGAGCUAAUACCGGAUAAUAUUUUGAACCGCAUGGUUCAAAAGUGAAAGACGGUCUUGCUGUCACUUAUAGAUGGAUCCGCGCUGCAUUAGCUAGUUGGUAAGGUAACGGCUUACCAAGGCAACGAUGCAUAGCCGACCUGAGAGGGUGAUCGGCCACACUGGAACUGAGACACGGUCCAGACUCCUACGGGAGGCAGCAGUAGGGAAUCUUCCGCGAUGGGCGAAAGCCUGACGGAGCAACGCCGCGUGAGUGAUGAAGGUCUUCGGAUCGUAAAACUCUGUUAUUAGGGAAGAACAUAUGUGUAAGUAACUGUGCACAUCUUGACGGUACCUAAUCAGAAAGCCACGGCUAACUACGU